RNAcentral lists this ribosomal RNA (516 nucleotides) under unidentified microorganism. RNAcentral describes it as "bacterial SSU rRNA". It matches the Rfam family "Bacterial small subunit ribosomal RNA", at positions 230 to 763 of the family's 1533-position model. The record is from RNAcentral.
CCCGCGUCUGAUUAGCUAGUUGGUGAGGUAAUGGCUCACCAAGGCGACGAUCAGUAGCUGGUCUGAGAGGAUGAUCAGCCACACUGGGACUGAGACACGGCCCAGACUCCUACGGGAGGCAGCAGUGGGGAAUAUUGGACAAUGGGCGCAAGCCUGAUCCAGCCAUGCCGCGUGUGUGAUGAAGGCCUUAGGGUUGUAAAGCNCUUUUGUCCGGGAAGAUAAUGACUGUACCGGAAGAAUAAGCCCCGGCUAACUUCGUGCCAGCAGCCGCGGUAAUACGAAGGGGGCUAGCGUUGCUCGGAANCACUGGGCGUAAAGGGCGCGUAGGCGGACUUUUAAGUCGGGGGUGAAAGCCCAGGGCUCAACCCUGGAAUUGCCUUCGAUACUGAGAGUCUUGAGUUCGGAAGAGGUUGGUGGAACUGCGAGUGUAGAGGUGAAAUUCGUAGAUAUUCGCAAGAACACCAGUGGCGAANGCGGCCAACUGGUCCGAUACUGACGCUGAGGCGCGAAAGCGUG